RNAcentral lists this non-coding RNA (30 nucleotides) under Rattus norvegicus (Norway rat). Lineage: Eukaryota; Metazoa; Chordata; Mammalia; Rodentia; Muridae. The record is from RNAcentral.
UGGAAAUCAGUUCUCUUCUGCAGCCCAAGU